Sinocyclocheilus anshuiensis is the source of this 269-nucleotide long non-coding RNA. RefSeq lists it as uncharacterized. The record is from RefSeq and is a predicted model, not a curated record. The transcript is spliced from 3 exons. Lineage: Eukaryota; Metazoa; Chordata; Actinopteri; Cypriniformes; Cyprinidae.
CUCUAAGGUGCUGAAUGUAGAGAAGAACCACAUUAAACAGCUGCCGGACUCUAUAGGGGAUUUACGGUAUCUACAGACACUUAAUGUGAAAGGGAACAGCCUUACUGACAUUCCUUUGUCUGUGCGACGCAUGAGUAGCCUGCGUACACUAGACAUAAGUGAGAACAGCAUUAGAGAAUUACCUAAAGAACUGGCCAGUGUUCGCACUUUGGAAAGCCUGAUUCUGGAUGCACAGGUUAUGAGAUAUCCACCUGCAUCAGUGUGCACGG